UAUCCGUUGAACGCUGGCGGCAGGCCUAACACAUGCAAGUCGAGCGGAUGACGGGAGCUUGCUCCUUGAUUCAGCGGCGGACGGGUGAGUAAUGCCUAGGAAUCUGCCUGGUAGUGGGGGACAACGUUUCGAAAGGAACGCUAAUACCGCAUACGUCCUACGGGAGAAAGCAGGGGACCUUCGGGCCUUGCGCUAUCAGAUGAGCCUAGGUCGGAUUAGCUAGUUGGUGGGGUAAUGGCUCACCAAGGCGACGAUCCGUAACUGGUCUGAGAGGAUGAUCAGUCACACUGGAACUGAGACACGGUCCAGACUCCUACGGGAGGCAGCAGUGGGGAAUAUUGGACAAUGGGCGAAAGCCUGAUCCAGCCAUGCCGCGUGUGUGAAGAAGGUCUUCGGAUUGUAAAGCACUUUAAGUUGGGAG
Molecule: ribosomal RNA, 421 nt
Filed under: Pseudomonas reinekei
Lineage: Bacteria; Pseudomonadati; Pseudomonadota; Gammaproteobacteria; Pseudomonadales; Pseudomonadaceae
Description: bacterial SSU rRNA
Rfam family: Bacterial small subunit ribosomal RNA
Source: RNAcentral